UUCAGUGUGGAGGAAUGUAUAGAGUGUUCUUCAGUGGUAGAGUGUAUAGAGUGUUCUUCAGUGGAGGAAUGUAUAGAGUGUCCUUCAGUGGUAGAGUGUAUAGAGUGUUCUUCAGUG
This is a non-coding RNA of Chlorocebus sabaeus (green monkey), 117 nucleotides long. Lineage: Eukaryota; Metazoa; Chordata; Mammalia; Primates; Cercopithecidae. The record is from RefSeq and is a predicted model, not a curated record.